UCUCCCAUGUGUUCAUGUUUGGUUUUAUUCCAUGUGUGUUUGUUUUGGUGUUCUAGUCCUGCCCCUUGUUUUUUUACUCCUCCCCUGAUCGUCUCCACCUGUUGUUCACCUGUCCCUCGUUAUCCCUGUUGUAUUUAAGCCCUGUGUUUGUACUUGGUCUUAGCUGGUCUUUGUAUUGGUCUUAGUUUGCUGUAUUAGUCUUUGUUGUUUGAUUGUUGGUGUUUCUCGUCAUGUCUGCAUCUGAAUCUCUCCGUGUUGGCUCUAGGACCUUGGACUGUUUUGACCACAACCCUGGAUUUGCCCUCAGUAAAAGUCGCUUACCUCCGCACAUGCGUCCGCUACCUCGCUCCUUGUUACAUUGCUUGUGUGGUGAAGCAUGUCUGGUGUUAAAUGCUGCACAAUAAAAUAUUAUAACCAGUUAUACGUUUCCUUUUUCUUUACUGCAGAAUGACGCCACUGAAACACGAAGAGCUUGAAUAGUGAAGGCAAUGAUUCUUUACCUCAACGGAGAUCCUGAAAACCUCAUAAGGGAGUAUCUUGAUGUUGGAGAAAACCAGGAGAUGGAGCAGACAAUUCUAGGAAUCUUUGUCAUAAAGAAGGACGGUGCAGAACCCACAGAUGAGCUGGAAGAUGUUGGAAUAAUCAUCGAAGGUGUGAAAGUGCUUUGUGACCUUGGUAACGUUGCAAAUGCAGUCGCUGUUUUAUUUGGCCUCAUUACGCAUUGGACUUGAGCUACCCACCCAACCAUAAGUACACAUUUGAGGUUCUACAAAAACUUGUGCUGGAACUGGACGGCAGACAUCCCUCAAGAAAGGCUCAAGUGCUAAAAAACAAACUGUUUGAAGGGACAACGUAGACGUGAAACUGCAAUUGAAUGUGGAGCCCUUUAUUUGAACGCUCUGAGGUGGAAGGAGGCUUUGAGCUUGGGAAAUAAACCAAUCAAUCUUUUUGGAUCCAUAUGUUGAACUGUCAUGGUUAUGCGUUGUAAGAUGCUACAGCUGACCAGGUUUGAAGUAAAUUGAUAAUUAUUUCACACGAAUAAAGUGACUGAGUUCAAUGUA
Pygocentrus nattereri (red-bellied piranha) is the source of this 1061-nucleotide long non-coding RNA. RefSeq lists it as uncharacterized. NCBI's taxonomy places the organism in Eukaryota, Metazoa, Chordata, Actinopteri, Characiformes, Serrasalmidae. The record is from RefSeq and is a predicted model, not a curated record. The transcript has 2 exons.